RNAcentral lists this non-coding RNA (70 nucleotides) under Ornatilinea apprima. Its description in RNAcentral is "Fluoride sequence". It matches the Rfam family "Fluoride riboswitch aptamer (crcB RNA motif)". The record is from Rfam by way of RNAcentral. Lineage: Bacteria; Bacillati; Chloroflexota; Anaerolineae; Anaerolineales; Anaerolineaceae.
AUAUCAAUAAGCGAUGAGGCUCGCUCAAAAGAUAUAAAUCGCUCAAACAGCUAAUGGCCUCUACCAGGUU